Molecule: RNA transcript, 5334 nt
Organism: Diachasma alloeum
Lineage: Eukaryota; Metazoa; Arthropoda; Insecta; Hymenoptera; Braconidae
Gene: Sarm
Gene name: sterile alpha and TIR motif-containing protein 1
Exons: 11
Source: RefSeq, a predicted model, not a curated record
UCGAAGCGUUCAAAUGUGCUAAAAAUAGAGUACGGAAUCGCGUGAAACGGGUACUCCUGUUUAUUUAUUCCUGCGCGUACUUGUUUGUUUGAUAAGUGCAUCCGGGAAUUCCGAGUGCUUGUGAAGGACACGGGGCCCAGUGGCGGGGCGGAUACUUCGUGAAUGCUUGGGGUUUCAGGAUUCAGGAAAGUCGUUUAGUGAAGAGGAGAGAGUUCUUUUCGUUCUCUUGGGGGUUCAUUCGAAUACUGGUUACACGUGAUGAUGGUGGUCAACAAGGUCAUCAUGUCCACGUACAAUCCUACACCGAGGAGGAAUUUUUUCUCUGGGCUGCAUGCGGAGAUGUCAGAAUUUCCCGCUGACACGGAGAACGGCGAUAUGCAGGCCGUCAUGGAGAAUUUUCAGAAGAAAAAUAAUUUGGUCAGUGGGAGGUCACAUCACCUUCCACAAGUCACCAGUUCCUCACAGUUGCUGAAUCAGAGUCAGAGCAGUAGUAGCACAAGCAGUACAACAACAAGCAGUAGAGUUGCUAAAUCCUCCCAGAGGAUUUUAACAUCAUCAUCGUCGAGUGAAAUGAAAGCAAGCUCCAUGAAGAGUGAUCUUACUGAACUCAAAAGGGGAAUUUCUGAGAUGAAAAAUAUUUCGACCAAGUUUUCAAGGCUGAGGAAUAGUAUGGAGAAUCUCGUUGACAGAGAAGGCAGUGUCACCGAGGAGGAUGACAUGUCGGAGCCCCUGGUGACAUUUCCAGACCCAGACACACCCCCACCGGCCUCUGGGCCCGGAACACUCACAGUCGGUUCUCCAGCACAACUGGGGACAUUAAAUCCCCUGAACAAUCUUCACAGUAUAACACCGACAAUAAACAUGUCGACAAUCGGUCUGACCGGUGGCCAGGAGACAAUGAAAUUCGAACAAAAGAAGAUGACGAGCGCAUCCAAGACCAAGGUUGUGACUGAUGGAUUCAGCGCAGAGAAAGCAACAGCAAAUAGCGCAGAGAUGCGUGCACUCCAGACUGGUGAUGUUUCAUACAAAGAGGAGAGUGCGGCGACUGCUGCACGCGCACGAGUCGAGGUCGACGGAGUUUCGGCGGAGAAAAGCGUCGCCGCAGCACGAGAGCAGAGGAGUCUGAAAACUGGUGAUCUGUCUCAUCAAGAGAGCAAUAAUGUCGCGGCAUCGAGUAUGAAGCUACAAAGUGACUCUUUCAGUUCAGAAAAGAAAGCAAUGGCAGCCCAGCAGCAGCGUCAAACGGUCACUUCCUCUGGUAUCUACAACCACGAAAAGCACAUGGCCUCCUCCUCCCAAUCCUCGAUAACCUUCGCGAAAGGUGUAACCUCGAAAUGCUCCAUGAUAAACGCAGCAAGUGCUGUCAACCAACUGAUGAACGGCAAGCGUCCGCAAGAGGAAGACCUCUUGACGAUGCCCCUGGACGAUCUCGACCACCUCUGCUCGUCCUCAAAACAGUCCGACGUGGACCGGGCCCGGGCCAAGUACUCGGGCUUCCUGGACCACUUCGUGGACCGCCUAAAGUCCCUCGAAAACUCGAAGUCCCCAACCGCGCCGCUCCUCCUAAACCGCGUAAACGACAUAAUCCGGAAAGCGUGGGCGGUGCCGACGCACGGUCACGACCUGGGCUACACGCUCUGCAACACCCUCCGCACGCGGGGUCUCCUGGACCUCCUGGUGACCAACUGCAUGGCGGCGGACGAAGAACUCCAAUUCUCCUCCGCGCGUCUUCUCGAGCAAUGUCUGACGACGGAAAACCGCGCCCACGUGGUGGAUCACGGUCUGGAGAAAGUCGUAAACGGCGCAUGCGUCUGCAUAAAGAACACAAACUCCGUCGACCACUCGCGGGUCGGCACGGGUAUCCUCGAACACCUCUUCAAGCACUCGGAGGUGACCUGCAGCGAUGUCAUCCGCCUCGGCGGUCUCGAUUCCGUCCUCUUCGAGUGCCGGAAGAACGACGUGGAAACCCUCCGCCAUGUUGCGGGCGCGCUCGCGAACCUCUCGUUAUACGGUGGCGCGGAGAACCAAGAGCAGAUGAUCAAGCGGAAGGUCCCGGUCUGGCUGUUCCCCCUGGCCUUCCACAACGACGACAACAUCAAGUACUACGCGUGCCUCGCCAUCUCGGUCCUCGUCGCGAACAAAGAGAUCGAGGCCGCGGUCGAGAAGAGCGGAACGCUGAACCUGGUCGAGCCCUUCGUGACCUCCCACAACCCUUACGAGUUCGCCAAGUCGAACCUCGCGCAUGCGCACGGGCAGUCCAAGAACUGGCUGGAGCGUCUCGUGCCUGUUCUGUCAUCCAAGCGGGAGGAGGCGCGCGCACUCGCGGCAUUUCACUUCUGCAUGGAAGCGGGGAUAAAGCAACAACAGGGAAACGAGGAGAUCUUCAAGGAGAUCGGGGCGAUCGAGCCCUUAAAGAAAGUCGCCAGUUGUCCGAACGCGGUCGCGUCCAAGUACGCCGCGCAAGCGCUGCGGCUUAUCGGCGAAGAGAUUCCGCACAAGUUGAGUCAGCAGGUACCGCUCUGGAGCACCGAAGACGUGCGGGAGUGGGUGAAGCAGAUCGGCUUCACCGAGUACGCGGACAACUUCGUGGAGAGUCGGGUGGACGGGGAUCUGCUUCUCCAGCUGACGGAGGAGAACCUCAAGGAGGACAUCGGGCUGACCAAUGGAAUCAGGCGGAGGAGGUUCACCCGCGAGCUUCAAAAUCUCAAGCGAAUGGCGGAUUACAGCAGUCGGGACAAUGGCGAUCUCAAUUCUCUUCUCCAGUGCAUCGGCAACGAGUUCUCGAUCUACACUUACGGGAUGCUCAAUGCUGGCGUUGACCGGGACAACAUCAGGGUCAUCAGCGAGGAUCAACUUCUCACCGAGUGCGGCAUCACCAACAGUAUUCAUAGGCUUAGGAUCAUGGACGCUAUCAAGAAUAGCCAGCAGAAUCAGCUCAACUCGUGCGAGAAUCAGAGUCCUGACAAGAGUUUGGAUGUCUUCGUCAGUUACCGACGGAGUAAUGGCUCGCAACUGGCUAGUUUGUUGAAGGUUCAUCUGCAGUUGAGGGGGUUCUCGGUGUUCAUUGAUGUCGAGAGGCUUGAGGCGGGCAAGUUUGAUAAUAACUUGUUGCAGAGUAUUAGACAGGCGAAACACUUCUUGCUGGUGUUGACGCCCAAGGCGUUGGACCGCUGCAGUCGGGAUAACGAAUGCAAGGAUUGGGUACACAGGGAGAUUGUCGCGGCGCUUCAGUCGCAAUGCAACAUCAUUCCGAUAAUCGACAACUUCCAGUGGCCCGAACCCGAGGAGCUUCCCGAGGACAUGAGGCAGGUCUGUCACUUCAAUGGAGUCCGCUGGAUCCACGACUAUCAGGACGCAUGCGUAGACAAAUUAGAAAGGUUUAUGCGAGGUGAGCUUCCAGCAGGCGCAUCUAUGUCAGGUGUCACUAGGGGAAUGGUGUCCAAGGAGGCAACAACGCCGAGUACUCCAGGCAGUACCAACAUGAGACAUCCACCUAGUUACCAGAGAAUGCACAGCAAUGAGAGCCGCGGCAGUGACAAAGACUCCUCAGGUGGUAGAGAUUGACUAGAAGGCCCCCCCACAGCUAUUCCAAAUAGUACGAGUCAGGAAAACUGAAGCUUCUGCAAUCGGUUGAAAAAAAUAUUGAAUAAUAGACUGAGGAAGACUUCGAGUCCUGGCUGGCUGAUGAGCAUCCCGCCAACGUCUCCGCGUCUCAAAUUCGUUCACACACAUCCUGGAAGGGACCCAAUUCCCCAGCGCCCACCCAGGCAUCCACCCACACCCGCGAAUCGAUCAAAGUCCCUAGAACUUUUGGACGAGCCUGAGAACCUGGAGAAAAUUGAGAGGCUAUUCGCCUCGAGGCCUCCACCUCUCCUGAGACCUCGCUCGAGGAGUCUAGACGGACUCCUAGACGAUGAUGCCCAGGAGAAAACCCCAGAAAAUCUUAAAAAAUCCCUAGACGAACAAAAACCCGAAAUUCCUCCAAGAACAUUCGAAACUCUGAGUUUAUCUACAUAUGAUAAUUUCCCAGACACUUCCAAAAAGUUCCUAGAUAUCGGGGAAAACCACCAGAAUAUCCCUAGACGUGAAAAUUCCCUAGGAGGGAUUGAGGGUUCAGAAAAAAGUGAACAAUCGGGUUUUUCGGAGAGGAGAAAAAUCGGAGAACAUUGUGGGGGAGGAAGUGACCCUGGAGAAAUUCCUAGGAAUUCCCCAGCGACCCAAAUAUCCCUAGAAACGAAGUCCGGUGAGGUUGGGGAUAGAGAGGAUGGGGAAAAUGGGGAUGAGCCGUGUCCAUUACCAGUGCCAAGACUGAAAUCUCGACAAAUUCGUAACCAGGCAGCUAAAAUAGCACAAGAAGAGCACACGAGAAUAUCAUUGUCCGAUGAUGACGAUACAAUUGACUGCUGUGAUAAAAAUAAUGAAAAAAUUGAUGAUAAUGUGAGGUUAUGUCCAAAUAAUUCGGAAAAUGAUGGAAAUUUGGAUAAAAAAUUUUUAGCAAAAGCUAAGAGCUGUGGGGAUGGACUCGAUGAGAAUGAGUCAUUAUCUUCAUUCAAUGCUAGUGUUAAUUCACUUCACGUUGACAAUGAGCAAAGACGUAAACGUAAUUUUAUGAAUAAAUGUGUUAGUAAAAUGAGAUCACUCAUUAAAAAGUGAUGUGUUUAGGUUAUUAAUUUAAUUGAAAAAAUUUGACGAGGGGUUGAUGAACAAUUCCGAAUUCAGUUGUAUACUCUGUGAAUUUUCUAGUGACUUUUUGAUUAAUGAGUGGAAUUUGAUUUUUUUUAAUCGGAAAACUAUUUGAAUUGUAAAUUUUAAAAGCUGGGAAAAUCUAGGAAAUUUCUCAGAAAAUCCUCAGGAAUUUUUCUAGGGAAUUUCCCUGGAGGCGUUCUCAGGACAAUUCUUGGAUAAAAUCCCUAGGGCAUUUCUGGGGAAUUGACGUGAUUCUAGGGUGUUGUCCCUAGGGGAUUCCUAAAAAAUCUCCAGUGCCCCCCAGGGGAAUUCUUGCGGAGAAAUUUCCUAGGUAAAAUUCUCUGUGUCAUUUUUUGACAAUUUUAUCUGUUGAAUGUUCUGUUGCUGCUUUUUAUGUUGAGUAUUAAUGUGUAAAAAUGAAUUUUUCAUUGAAAAAAAAAUUUUUUAAUAUUUAAAAAAUGGAAAAAACUUAUUAAAAAAAUUGAAAACCCCUCGUGACAAAAACGGCAGCGAGACUAUGUAACAAUUGUGCCUGAAUCGUGUCUUAAAUCAAAACAUUACAUUGUUCAUUUAAUAUUAUUCUACCCCAAUUUUAUAUUUUAUUUUUAUGAACAAAAUUUAAAUAACACGAGGUGCUUUAUAUUUAUA